RNAcentral lists this ribosomal RNA (253 nucleotides) under uncultured bacterium. RNAcentral's name for it is "partial 16S ribosomal RNA". It matches the Rfam family "Bacterial small subunit ribosomal RNA", at positions 524 to 776 of the family's 1533-position model. The record is from RNAcentral.
UACAGGGGGGGCAAGCGUUGUUCGGAAUUACUGGGCGUAAAGGGCUCGUAGGUGGCCAACUAAGUCAGACGUGAAAUCCCUCAGCUUAACUGGGGAACUGCGUCUGAUACUGGAUGGCUUGAGUUUGGGAGAGGGAUGCGGAAUUCCAGGUGUAGCGGUGAAAUGCGUAGAGAUGUGGAGGAACACCGAUGGCGAAGGCAGCCUUCUGGGCCAACACUGACGCUCAUGCACGAAAGCGUGGGGAGCAAACAGG